UUAAUGCAUGCAAGUCGAACGAAAGCCCUUCGGGGCGAAAGUGGCGAAAGGGCGAGUAAUACGAUCGAACGUACCCCAAGGUGGAGGAUAGUGCCGGGAAACUGGCGGUAAUACUCCAUGUGCUCUUCGGAGGAAAGCUUUGGCGCCUCGGGAGCGGCGAUCGUCCUAUCAGGUUGUUGGUGAGGUAAAGGCUCACCAAGCCGAAGACGGGUAGCGGGUGUGAGAGCAUGACCCGCCGCAUCGGGACUGAGACACUGCCCGGACUCCUACGGGAGGCUGCAGUAACGAAUAUUCCGCAAUGGGCGAAAGCCUGACGGAGCAAUGCCGCGUGUGGGAUGAAGCAUCUACGAUGUGUAAACCACUGUCAGGGACUAGGAACAAUGACCAGUCCCAAAGGAAGGGCCGGCUAAUUCAGUGCCAGCAGCCGCGGUAAUACUGAAGGCCCGAGCGUUAAUCGGAAUCACUGGGCUUAAAGGGUGCGCAGGCGGCCUGAUAAGUAGGAUGUGAAAUCUCCCGGCCCAACCGGGGAACUGCGUUCUAAACUGUCAGGCUUGAGUGAGAUAGGGGUGUGCGGAACUUCUAGUGGAGCGGUGAAAUGUGUUGAUAUUAGAAGGAACACCAGUAGCGAAAGCGGCACACUGGGUCUUAACUGACGCUGAGGCACGAAAGCUAGGGUAGCGAACGGGAUUAGAUACCCCGGUAGUCCACGCCGUAAACGAUGAGUACUAGUUGGGAGGCGCCCUAGGCAUUUCCCAACGUAGCAAAAGGGUUAAGUACUCCGCCUGGGGCGGAUGGUAGCAAGGCUGAAACUCAAAGGAAUUGACGGGGGCUAACCCAAGCCGUGGAGGCGGCGCCUUACUACGAGGCAUGCCGAGAGCCCUGACUCGUGGUUUGCUCUGUAUGU
This 904-nucleotide ribosomal RNA is filed under the name marine metagenome. Its description in RNAcentral is "bacterial SSU rRNA". It matches the Rfam family "Bacterial small subunit ribosomal RNA", at positions 48 to 994 of the family's 1533-position model. The record is from RNAcentral.